GAUGAACGCUGGCGGCGUGCCUAAUACAUGCAAGUCGAGCGAACAGACGAGGAGCUUGCUCCUUCGCCGUUAGCGGCGGACGGGUGAGUAACACGUAGGUAACCUACCUCUAAGACUGGGAUAACUCCGUGAAACCGGAGUUCAUACCGGAUAAUAUUUCGAACCGCAUGGUUCGAUAGUGAAAAAUGGCUUUGCUAUCACUUAUAGAUGGACCUGCGCCGUAUUAGCUAGUUGGUAAGGUAACGGCUUACCAAGGCAACGAUACGUAGCCGACCUGAGAGGGUGAUCGGCCACACUGGAACUGAGCCACGGUCAGGACUCCUACGGAAGGAAGCAGUAGGGAAUCUUCCGCAAUGGGCGAAAGCCGGCCGGGGCAACGCCGCGUGGGUGAUGAAGGUCUUCGGAUCGUAAAACUCUGUUAUUAGGGAAGAACAAACGUGUAAGUAACUGGGCACGUAUUGACGGUACCUAAUCAGAAAGCCACGGCUAACUACGUG
Molecule: ribosomal RNA, 497 nt
Filed under: uncultured bacterium
Lineage: Bacteria
Description: partial 16S ribosomal RNA
Rfam family: Bacterial small subunit ribosomal RNA
Source: RNAcentral